UUCGAGAGGCAAUUAUUCAGUGGAUAUUUGUGGAGAGAUUAGUGAGUUUGUUAGGUGUGAUUUUCUCUAUUUUUGAGUUGUUUCACUAGGGAUCAGGGUUUUUUGGAUAGGAUAGAGGGUCUUUGGUGCCUUUGGACCGAGUUCGAUGGUCCCUGUUUUUGCCUCCUUUUGUUAAUAAGGUUUGAAAGAGAAUUUCAGGUCGGAUGUUUGACAGAGAAAAGGAUGGAUGAUUUAAAGUCAUUGCCCGAGGAUGAAUGGUUCUGUGGUGAACAAUGCAACAUGAUGCAUUCACCUCUUCGGAAGUUUUCUGCCGACGGAAAUUUGAAGCUUCCCAGAACUGUUGUGAAGAUUUUGAAGAAGAAAGUUAAGGGAAAAGCUUCAACGCCGAACCCAUAUUAAUUGGAGUGCAGCUCUCACUCUCAAUGAUAUUGGGGUUUCUGGAAGAUAAACUGAAGGUGGAAUGCUUGCAAGAAUAUAUACUCUGCCUGUAGGAGGAUAUUAUGGGCUCCUGCUGCCAAGAAGUCAAAAAGUUCUCAGAAGAAGUUGUCCAAUGC
Long non-coding RNA from Andrographis paniculata, 554 nucleotides. RefSeq lists it as uncharacterized. The record is from RefSeq and is a predicted model, not a curated record. The transcript has 4 exons. NCBI's taxonomy places the organism in Eukaryota, Viridiplantae, Streptophyta, Magnoliopsida, Lamiales, Acanthaceae.